GGGGUGGUUUGUUAUGCAGCAAUAACUAACACUGGGUUUUAACUCGAGAACGCUCUAGGUUCCUUUCUGCUCCAAUAGCAUUAUGUAACUCAUGCUAAGCCUCUCCUAAAGCUGCUACCACAGGAGCAGUGAAAAAGCCCAAGUACCAAAUUAGCCAGAGAUUUCUUAUAAGUUGACAGCUUUCUCAAGCCACAAAAUGCUUCGGGUACAGGUUUCCCUUCAGGAAAGUCAGUUUCCCAGCAAGGUCAAAGCAAGUGCCCUGACCCAGACAAUGGAGCUUGCUGUGGAGCUGUGGGUCCUGGAGACCCAGGCUUCAGCCCUGACUUCGACACUUUCCUCAGUGCCCACCUUUCAUCUGGAUGAUGCAGAGAAAGUCAACUAAAGCAGAUGCUGGCUGAGUCACAGCGUGAUGAAGCAUUGCUAACCCAAGACGUGAAUCGAGAGCACGUGGGGGAUACUGCUUUUAUGCUGAACUAGGAAGACAGCAGCCGCCAUCAAAGCCAGAAUCGAACAUAAAAUUUAACAAUCAAACACGACAAAAACAGUUUAAAAAUGGAUUUGUACUUUGUUUAUCAUCUGUUCCCCCAUGUUAGAAUGUUAGCUCUAUGAGAACAGAGCUUUCACUUCUGCUUCCUCUCCACUGUGUCUUCAGGACAACAAACACUGCC
This 668-nucleotide long non-coding RNA is filed under the name Equus caballus (horse). Its description in RNAcentral is "lncRNA (ENSECAG00000042751.2)". Lineage: Eukaryota; Metazoa; Chordata; Mammalia; Perissodactyla; Equidae. The record is from RNAcentral.